AAUCUGGCUCUUUCAGAGUCCGAGUUGUAAUUUUAAGAACUGUUUUCCGUGCUGGACCAUUUCUAAGUCUGUUGAAAAAUAGCAUCAUUGAGGGUGAUAAUCCCGUUCAUGAUAUGGACUGCCAGUGCAAUGUGAUACAGUUUCUAAGAGUCGAGUUGUUUGGGAAUGCAGCUCAAAGUGGGUGGUAAAUUCCAUCUAAGGCUAAAUAUAGGUGAGAGACCGAUAGCAUACAAGUACCGUGAGGGAAAGAUGAAAAGAACUUUGGAAAGAGAGUUAAAAGUACGUGAAAUUGUUGUAAGGGAAACAAUUAAAGUUAGCCUUGUGCUUGUUAGUUCAGCUCUUUAACUAGGGUGUAUUCUAACAAUGUCACGGACCAACAUCAGUUUUUGGGUGCUGGAUAAGGGCUCCGGAAAUGUAGCAGUCUCGGCUGUGUUAUAGUCCGGGGUUUGGAUACAGUGCCUGGGACUGAGGAGAUCUGCAGCAAGC
Molecule: ribosomal RNA, 486 nt
Filed under: Phragmidium tuberculatum
Lineage: Eukaryota; Fungi; Basidiomycota; Pucciniomycetes; Pucciniales; Phragmidiaceae
Description: partial 28S ribosomal RNA
Rfam family: Eukaryotic large subunit ribosomal RNA
Source: RNAcentral